RNAcentral lists this ribosomal RNA (483 nucleotides) under uncultured bacterium. Its description in RNAcentral is "partial 16S ribosomal RNA". It matches the Rfam family "Bacterial small subunit ribosomal RNA", at positions 28 to 523 of the family's 1533-position model. The record is from RNAcentral.
GACGAACGCUGGCGGCGUGCUUAACACAUGCAAGUCGAACGAUGAAGCUGGAGCUUGCUCCAGUGGAUUAGUGGCGAACGGGUGAGUAACACGUGAGCAAUCUGCCCUUGACUCUGGAAUAACUGCGGGAAACUGUAGCUAAUACCGGAUACGACACCUUGGGGCAUCCCGGGGUGUGGAAAGAAUUUCGGUCAAGGAUGAGCUCGCGGCCUAUCAGCUUGUUGGUGAGGUAAAGGCUCACCAAGGCGACGACGGGUAGCCGGCCUGAGAGGGUGACCGGCCACACUGGAACUGAGACACGGUCCAGACUCCUACGGGAGGCAGCAGUGGGGAAUAUUGCACAAUGGGCGAAAGCCUGAUGCAGCAACGCCGCGUGAGGGAUGACGGCCUUCGGGUUGUAAACCUCUUUUAGCAGGGAAGAAGCGAAGGUGACGGUACCUGCAGAAAAAGCACCGGCUAACUACGUGCCAGCAGCCGCCGCCG